Molecule: ribosomal RNA, 670 nt
Filed under: uncultured Bacteroidota bacterium
Lineage: Bacteria; Pseudomonadati; Bacteroidota
Description: SSU rRNA
Rfam family: Bacterial small subunit ribosomal RNA
Source: RNAcentral
AUAGUUGGCGGGGUAACGGCCCACCAAGUCUGCGAUCAGUAACUGGUGUGAGAGCACGACCAGUCACACGGGCACUGAGACACGGGCCCGACUCCUACGGGAGGCAGCAGUAAGGAAUAUUGGUCAAUGGACGCAAGUCUGAACCAGCCAUGCCGCGUGGAGGAUGAAGGCCCUCUGGGUUGUAAACUUCUUUUAUCUGGGACGAAAAAGGGACUUUCUAGUUCAACUGACGGUACCAGAGGAAUAAGCACCGGCUAACUCCGUGCCAGCAGCCGCGGUAAUACGGAGGGUGCAAGCGUUAUCCGGAUUCACUGGGUUUAAAGGGUGCGUAGGUGGGCAGGUAAGUCAGUGGUGAAAUCUUUGGGCUUAACCCGAAAACUGCCAUUGAUACUAUUUGUCUUGAAUAUUGUGGAGGUCAGCGGAAUAUGUCAUGUAGCGGUGAAAUGCUUAGAUAUGACAUAGAACACCAAUUGCGAAGGCAGCUGGCUACACAUAUAUUGACACUGAUGCACGAAAGCGUGGGGAUCAAACAGGAUUAGAUACCCUGGUAGUCCACGCCCUAAACGAUGGAUACUCGACAUACGCGAUAUACUGUGUGUGUCUGAGCGAAAGCAUUAAGUAUCCCACCUGGGAAGUACGAUCGCAAGAUUGAAACUCAAAGGAAUUGACG